This 293-nucleotide RNase P RNA is filed under the name Oncorhynchus mykiss (rainbow trout). Its description in RNAcentral is "Nuclear RNase P (ENSOMYG00000058301.1)". It matches the Rfam family "Nuclear RNase P". From Rfam's summary of the family: Ribonuclease P (RNase P) is a ubiquitous endoribonuclease, found in archaea, bacteria and eukarya as well as chloroplasts and mitochondria. The record is from RNAcentral. Lineage: Eukaryota; Metazoa; Chordata; Actinopteri; Salmoniformes; Salmonidae.
GUGGGUGGAAGCUCAUCAUAGAGGUCACAUGCAGGGUGCUUGUCACUCAACCAAUCACCUUGGGGAAGGUCUGAGACAAGAGCCAAUCACUGCCCUAGCAGGGUAUCACCUGACCUGGGUGAGUGAGUGCACAUUGUGAGUUGUCUUUACAGGAGAAACCAGCCAGAGCAGCUCUCCAGCACUACUGGUUGAUGUGACCUCACUGGCUUGGAAACACUCAUGGCUGGCAUAUGAGUGCAAUGUGUGAGUUGGAGUACACCUCCAGAACCCAAUUCAGACUACUCUCUGCCCAC